CCCGCUAACUGCUUCACAUCAACGCCUUCCCCUAGUCUUGUCUCUCUUUUCCAUUCAUUCACCACAAAUCCCCACACGCUGAGACGGAGAGAAAAGAAAGGGAAGAGAGAAGAGAGGGCUGAACGGAGAAGAAGGAAGGGAGGGGGAGGACCGCCGCCAAUGUGUCCUGCCACAGCCGCCGCCACCGAGCCGCCACUUUGUCCAGCGUUCGUUCAUAAACAGCACCAAAAAGAUUUACAACCAGCAAUUUCAAUAUGUGUACAGAAAGAAAGUGACUGAGAAACUGAGUUUGCAUUCAGAAGUAAAUCUGUUGAAGAUGCUGGUUUUUAGGGCAGCGCUUCAAAACAUUUGCAAUCACCAAAUGUUCCGUAAAUUGCCAAAGUUUUGCUAGAGCUGAAGAUUACUUGGCUAGAGGCUCAAGGCCUAUUACAGCCCCCUCUUGACCAUGCUCCCUACAUUGUGGUGAUUGAAGGUUUUGAAUUUGAAGGAUGAGUUGUGGCAUGAGAAAAUCCAAAUAAAAUAAAAUGGUGUGUUACCAAGUGGAUAUGCACAGAAGAUUGGGUUCUAAAUAUGGGAAAAUUGGCUGAACUACGGAAGAUCUAGUAGGCUCAACGUAAAAAUUGUCUCAAGUAGUAACCAAGUUGAGUGUCUCUUGUUGAAGGCUAUCACGUCGGCCAAGCUUCUUAUCGGUGAAGCAAUCAAGUCCAUGAGGUAUGCAUUCAAGGGUUGAUUGCAGCGCAAGUUGAAGAAUUGCAGCAUGACAUGAAUUCAGGUUUCCUCUUGCUUAGUGUUGACUGCAACUAUGCAUAUUGUCAUGAGAAUUUUCGUGCAGUGUUGUUUCCUUCUUCUUUGAGCUUUGUUUGAGAUUUUUUUGUUAUGAUUUUUUUAUGUCUAUUUUUCUGUAAUUGAGAAAAAGGCUAAUCAUGGUAAAGUGAGAAAAUGAAAAAGCCAUUAGUGAAAAGAGGCAAAAGAGAUAAAUUGAGAAAGCCAAAGUAAUUUUUUAUGUAUUUGAUUUUUGUUGAACUAGGAUUAGUUCUUCUUAGUCAAGUUGGGAUAACAUUUGGUGGUUGCUGAACUAGAUUGGAGUUUUUCUUAGUCAAGUUGAGAUGGCACUUGGUGGAUACUAGGCUUAGGUUAAAAAUUUGGUAGGUGAUACUAGAUGAAUUAGGUUGUAAUUCAUUGGUAUUGGUGCAUGUAAUAAGUUUGAUUAUAGUUGAAAUUUCACCAUGGUUGUGGUGGAGACUGGAUGUAGGUUUCAUUGCACUUGAAAACCGAACUAGGAUAUAUACUUGUGUGAUUCUCUUUCUCUGCUUUUGAGUCAACCCCCUUUCUCAAGUUCUAAAAGAUCUUGACAAGGGUUACAUGUUAAAAAAUUACCAUCAUUAUCACUAAUCAUAACAUGAUCAUUAC
Molecule: long non-coding RNA, 1410 nt
Organism: Arachis stenosperma
Lineage: Eukaryota; Viridiplantae; Streptophyta; Magnoliopsida; Fabales; Fabaceae
Exons: 6
Source: RefSeq, a predicted model, not a curated record